Molecule: long non-coding RNA, 1254 nt
Filed under: Glycine max (soybean)
Lineage: Eukaryota; Viridiplantae; Streptophyta; Magnoliopsida; Fabales; Fabaceae
Description: long non-coding RNA (GMAX_LNC004257)
Source: RNAcentral
UCCCGCCCAACACUUAAUUCACUGUUAAAUUUCUAACUUCUGAAAAUUGAGAAGAGUUCAAGGUGAGGCUUGAACUCACUACCCCAUGCUUUAAAACAUGCAUAAGCACUACUAAUUAAGACACUUAGCUUGUCAUCGGUAUGAAAAAUAUAUUAUAUAAAACAAUUAAAUGUGUGAGGAACUAAAAAUUAAUACAAAUAUAUGUAUUAUUGGUAGAUAAUUAAUAAAUAAUAUAUUUUUCAUACAUACACAAAAUAAUUAAGUUUAUGGUGUCAAAAGCAUAUGUCGUGGUAUUCGCUAAAAAAAACAUGUGGUGGCGAGUUCAAAUCCCAUCUUAAAUACUUAUUUCAAUUUUUAAACCCUUUUCCCGAGUAUAUUAACAUGUCAGUGGCAUAUGUUUACUCUUUGCACCUUGCAACUUAUCUACCAAAUCCUUGAUAUGGUCCAAAGAAUUAGCACUAUGAUUCUGAUGAUCAGGAUGAGUUUUCAGUUGGUUGUGAUAAGGGUAAUUGACUAUUAUAUAUAGUCAUUCAUAUUUCCUAAUAAUCCACUUAACUAACAAUGACAGAUUCGGAUGUUAUGCUCAAAUUAAGAUGACACACACGCAUGAUAUACCCCCAAUAUAUAAGAUAUAGAGAACUUCAGUGUUUCACUGAUACAUAUAGUUCUUGAUUUUAGAAAGAGAGAAGGCAGGAUUGUUAAGAGGCCAGGGGUUCUGUGGAUUGAUCAGGAGAAUAGUUUGCACAAAGUUGAGAGACCGAGAGAAAAUAGGACAUGUGAAGAGAAGCUAGCCCAUGGCCAUGGGAAUUAAUAAAGAAAUGGCAAAUUAAGGAAAAUUAAAUGAGAUAUAUAGUCUCAUUCUAAAAUACGAUCAUUGUCACUUUACUAUGUGGUAAAUAAUAGAAUGAAAAAUCUUACCCAAGAAUGAAAGAAGGAAAAUAGAAAGAAAAGUUGUAUUUUGAAGUAAAUCCUACUAGAAGAUAACCACACUUAUCAUUAUGGGAAUUAGGAAUUGUCAAGCCCUUCACCGAAAGACACAAGGUGUAUUUCACUUCGCUUGUGUUUGUGCAUGGAUUGAGACAUGCAGAACCCAACACUAGCUAGCUUCUUGAUUAUCAUUUUAUUUGAAUUUGACAAUUUGCAUUGUAGCAGGUACAACAGUAAUAAAGGCUUCAACAAGCCUCAAAGUUCCACCACUUUUUCAUGUUUGUGAUAUUCUCACUGGAAUGAAAUAUGAAGUAGUGGAAGCCUUUG